This 468-nucleotide ribosomal RNA is filed under the name uncultured bacterium. RNAcentral's name for it is "partial 16S ribosomal RNA". It matches the Rfam family "Bacterial small subunit ribosomal RNA", at positions 28 to 507 of the family's 1533-position model. The record is from RNAcentral.
GACGAACGCUGGCGGCGUGCUUAACACAUGCAAGUCGAACGGAAAGGCCCUGCUUUUGUGGGGUGCUCGAGUGGCGAACGGGUGAGUAACACGUGAGUAACCUGCCCUUGACUUUGGGAUAACUUCAGGAAACUGGGGCUAAUACCGGAUAGGAGCUCCUGCUGCAUGGUGGGGGUUGGAAAGUUUCGGCGGUUGGGGAUGUACUCGCGGCUUAUCAGCUUGUUGGUGGGGUAGUGGCUUACCAAGGCUUUGACGGGUAGCCGGCCUGAGAGGGUGACCGGCCACAUUGGGACUGAGAUACGGCCCAGACUCCUACGAGAGGCAGCAGUGGGGAAUAUUGCACAAUGGGCGGAAGCCUGAUGCAGCAACGCCGCGUGCGGGAUGACGGCCUUCGGGUUGUAAACCGCUUUCGCCUGUGACGAAGCGUGAGUGACGGUAAUGGGUAAAGAAGCACCGGCUAACUACGUG